GACGAACGCUGGCGGCGCGCCUAACACAUGCAAGUCGAACGAGCGAGAGAGAGCUUGCUUUCUUGAGCGAGUGGCGAACGGGUGAGUAACGCGUGAGGAACCUGCCUCAAAGAGGGGGACAACAGUUGGAAACGACUGCUAAUACCGCAUAAGCCCACGGUGCCGCAUGGCACAGAGGGAAAAGGAGCAAUCCGCUUUGAGAUGGCCUCGCGUCCGAUUAGCUAGUUGGUGAGGUAACGGCCCACCAAGGCGACGAUCGGUAGCCGGACUGAGAGGUUGAACGGCCACAUUGGGACUGAGACACGGCCCAGACUCCUACGGGAGGCAGCAGCGGGGAAUAUUGCACAAUGGGGGAAACCCUGAUGCAGCGACGCCGCGUGGAGGAAGAAGGUCUUCGGAUUGUAAACUCCUGUUGUUGGGGAAGAUAAUGACGGUACCCAACAAGGAAGUGACGGCUAACUACGUG
This 466-nucleotide ribosomal RNA is filed under the name uncultured bacterium. RNAcentral's name for it is "partial 16S ribosomal RNA". It matches the Rfam family "Bacterial small subunit ribosomal RNA", at positions 28 to 507 of the family's 1533-position model. The record is from RNAcentral.